GGGCAAAAGGGAGCAAGAAGACUAGGGGAGAAGAGCAAAAGGACGGGAGAGAUGAAAGUAGAUGAAGAAAUGUCUCAGUAAAGGUGUUCUGCUGAACGGCACGUGGCCCUGUGCUCUGGCAAGGCGGCGACAAAGGGGAGGUGACACUGCUACUAGGGGGGGUCCCAAGAAGCUUGGUUCUCACCGCUGCAUGGAAAUGCCUGUGUCCACUUUGAAACAAGGGCUUCUGUCCUCCAGACCGCAAAGACUGGCGAUCCUUAUACAUGGAACUCUUCAGAAGGGCUGAAAAUGAGACUAACUGGAUGGGGAAACAGAGGCUCAGCGACGUCAAACUCAGAAAAGGUGUUAAUAACUAAUAAACAGUAAGGACCGGACUGAAAGCUGCGUCUAGUGCUCCUUCUGCUCCGCCAUUCUACUACCAAAAUGAUCCCCCCCCCCCCCAAAAAGCCUUGAAAAGAAAAAAGUAAUGAGCUUCUGAGAAGCAAAGAUGCCUCCCCUUCCACUGCGUUUCACGUGUGCGAGAACCUGGCGGAGAAAGCGCUUUGAAUUCAGAACUGCAAGGCGGGACAGACUCUAGACAUUUCAUCUGUCAACCUCCACAACCGCAAGGAAUUCUGAACACGGGCCGGAGCAAAGGUUUGCUGGAAACAAUACUCAGGGCGCACAGACUCCGAAUCGGGGCCUGUGCUCUCUGCAACGCCGCAGGGGCCGAGCUUGCUUCCUCCAGGACCAGCUGCACCGAGCACCAGGGCCCCUCUUCUGCUGUCCUGAAAGUCAGCCGGAAGAAGAAGAACGCAGUGCCGGGCCGCAUGCAGACA
This is a long non-coding RNA of Mustela lutreola (European mink), 818 nucleotides long. RefSeq lists it as uncharacterized. The record is from RefSeq and is a predicted model, not a curated record. The transcript is spliced from 4 exons. Lineage: Eukaryota; Metazoa; Chordata; Mammalia; Carnivora; Mustelidae.